CAGCCCCUCGAGUGGUGGGGAUGAUUAUUUGGCCUAAAGCGUCCGUAGCCGGCCGAGCAAGUCUUCCGUUAAAUCCAGCGUCUCAAGCGUUGGACUGCGGGAGAUACUACACGGCUAGAGAGUGGGAGAGGUCAGCGGUAUUCUGGGGGUAGGGGCGAAAUCCUUUGAUCCCCGGAGGACCACCAGUGGCGAAGGCUGCUGACUAGAACACGUCUGACGGUCAGGGACGAAAGCUGGGGUAGCGAACCGGAUUAGAUACCCGAGUAGUCC
Molecule: ribosomal RNA, 270 nt
Filed under: uncultured archaeon
Lineage: Archaea
Description: partial 16S ribosomal RNA
Rfam family: Archaeal small subunit ribosomal RNA
Source: RNAcentral